This 492-nucleotide ribosomal RNA is filed under the name uncultured bacterium. Its description in RNAcentral is "partial 16S ribosomal RNA". It matches the Rfam family "Bacterial small subunit ribosomal RNA", at positions 29 to 507 of the family's 1533-position model. The record is from RNAcentral.
AGUGAACGCUGGCGGUAGGCCUAACACAUGCCAGUCGAACGGCAGCACAGUAAGAGCUUGCUCUUACGGGUGGCGAGUGGCGGACGGGUGAGGAAUACAUCGGAAUCUACUUUUUCGUGGGGGAUAACGUAGGGAAACUUACGCUAAUACCGCAUACGACCUACGGGUGAAAGCAGGGGAUCUUCGGACCUUGCGCGAUUGAAUGAGCCGAUGUCGGAUUAGCUAGUUGGCGGGGUAAAGGCCCACCAAGGCGACGAUCCGUAGCUGAUCUGAGAGGAUGAUCAGCCACACUAGAACUGAGACACGGUCCAGACUCCUACGGGAGGCAGCAGUGGGGAAUAUUGGACAAUGGGCGCAAGCCUGAUCCAGCCAUACCGCGUGGGUGAAGAAGGCCUUCGGGUUGUAAAGCCCUUUUGUUGGGAAAGAAAAGCAGCAGGUUAAUACCCCGCUGUUCUGACGGUACCCAAAGAAUAAGCACCGGCUAACUUCGUG